Molecule: ribosomal RNA, 253 nt
Filed under: uncultured bacterium
Lineage: Bacteria
Description: partial 16S ribosomal RNA
Rfam family: Bacterial small subunit ribosomal RNA
Source: RNAcentral
UACGUAGGGUGCGAGCGUUGUCCGGAAUUAUUGGGCGUAAAGGGCUCGUAGGCGGUUUGUCGCGUCGGGAGUGAAAACCAGGUGCUUAACACCUGGCUUGCUUUCGAUACGGGCAGACUAGAGGUAUGCAGGGGAGAACGGAAUUCCUGGUGUAGCGGUGAAAUGCGCAGAUAUCAGGAGGAACACCGGUGGCGAAGGCGGGUCUCUGGGCCGAUAUUGACGCUGAGGAGCGAAAGCGUGGGGAGCAAACAGG